RNAcentral lists this ribosomal RNA (868 nucleotides) under uncultured archaeon. Its description in RNAcentral is "bacterial SSU rRNA". It matches the Rfam family "Archaeal small subunit ribosomal RNA", at positions 1 to 878 of the family's 1478-position model. The record is from RNAcentral.
CUCCGGUUGAUCCCGCCGGACCCGACUGCUAUCAGAGUGGGACUAAGCCAUGCGAGUCAACAUAGCAAUAUGUGGCAUACGGCUCAGUAACACGUAGUCAACAUGCCCAGGGGACGAGGAUAACCUCGGGAAACUGAGGAUAAACCUCGAUAGGCCAUGAUUUCUGGAAUGAUUCUUGGCUCAAACCUAUAUGGCCCCUGGAUUGGACUGCGGCCGAUCAGGCUGUUGGUGAGGUAAUGGCCCACCAAACCUAUUACCGGUACGGGCUCUGAGAGGAGGAGCCCGGAGAUGGGCACUGAGACAAGGGCCCAGGCCCUAUGGGGCGCAGCAGGCGCGAAACCUCUGCAAUAGGCGAAAGCUUGACAGGGUUACUCUGAGUGAUUUCCGCUAAGGGAAUCUUUUGGCACCUCUAAAAAUGGUGCAGAAUAAGGGGUGGGCAAGUCUGGUGUCAGCCGCCGCGGUAAUACCAGCACCCCGAGUGGUCGGGACGAUUAUUGGGCCUAAAGCAUCCGUAGCCGGUCCUGCAAGUCUUCCGUUAAAUCCAGCUGCUCAACAGAUGGGCUGCGGGAGAUACUACAGGGCUAGGAGGCGGGAGAGGCAAGCGGUACUUUAUGGGUAGGGGUAAAAUCCGCUGAUCCAUAGAAGACCACCAGUGGCGAAGGCGGCUUGCCAGAACGCGCUCGACGGUGAGGGAUGAAAGCUGGGGGAGCAAACCGGAUUAGAUACCCGGGUAGUCCCAGCUGUAAACGAUGCAGACUCGGUGAUGGGUUGGCCUCGCGCCUGCCCAGUGCCGCAGGGAAGCCGUUAAGUCUGCCGCCUGGGUAGUACGGUCGCAAGACUGAAACUUAAAGGAAUUGGCGGGGGAGCA